This 439-nucleotide ribosomal RNA is filed under the name uncultured bacterium. Its description in RNAcentral is "partial 16S ribosomal RNA". It matches the Rfam family "Bacterial small subunit ribosomal RNA", at positions 338 to 795 of the family's 1533-position model. The record is from RNAcentral.
CCUACGGGGUGUAGCAGUGGGGAAUCUUGCACAAUGGGCGAAAGCCUGAUGCAGCAACGCCGCGUGAGCGAUGAAGGCAUUCGGGUCGUACAGCUCUGUCCUCAAGGAAGAUAAUGACGGUACUUGAGGAGGAAGCCCCAGCUAACUACGUGCCAGCAGCCGCGGUAAUACGUAGGGGGAUAGCGGUAUCCGGAAUUACUGGGCGUAAAGGGUGCGUAGGUGGUUUCUUAAGUCAGAGGUGAAAGGCUACGGCUCAACCGUAGUAAGCCUUUGAAACUGGGGAACUUGAGUGCAGGAGAGGAGAGUGGAAUUCCUAGGGUAGGGGUGAAAGGCGUAGAUAGUAGGAGGAACACCAGUUGGGAGGGCGGCUCUCUGAACUGUAACUGACACUGAGGCACGAAAGCGUGGAGAGCAAACAGGAUUAGAGAGCCCUGUAGUC